This is a non-coding RNA of Xyrichtys novacula (pearly razorfish), 3968 nucleotides long. NCBI's taxonomy places the organism in Eukaryota, Metazoa, Chordata, Actinopteri, Labriformes, Labridae. The record is from the annotation of a GenBank genome assembly.
AACUGAUUUUUGCAGUCUGCAGCAUCCAACCAUAGUAACUUGAGAAUGCAGAACAGCACCAUCUAUUGCCCUGCUUCAGUUACUGCCCUACAUCUGAAUGCAGAAAGUAUGAAACAGCUGAAGUUAAAUUAAUUGUAUAAAUGUAGAAAGUAUAGAAAAGAAAAGCAGAAGUAGAAGAAAAAGAAGAAGUUAGUAUGUUAAAAGAGUUAAAGACAAGAACUGUAACAACAAAGUUCAUAUUGGGGCUGUAUUUUCUACUGACAGAGUGACAGUAAUGCACACAUGGAAACAGUGUGUGUGUGUGUGUGUGUGUGUGUGUGUGUGUGUGUGUGUGUGUGCCCGCGCGCGCGCGCGGCCGAGCCCGUGCGUGUGCAUAUGCGUGUGUGAUCGAAGCACACAGCCCAUGACAAGUGCAGAAUCUGACAGAGACAGUAAGAGAGAAAGACACACAGUAAUGCACUCAUGGAAACAGUGUGUGUGUAUGUGUGUGUGCCCGCGCGCGCACGAGCGGCCAAGUCCGUGCGUGUGCGAUCGAAGCACACAGCCCAUGACAAGUGCAGAAUCUCUGGCUCUGAAGGAAUGUACUCACCUCCUGGGCAAGCUGUACAAUUUCAUGACUUCAGACCGAUUUUGUGAGAAGCAGGACGAGUGUACCUCCAUUUUGAUGUGUUUUUUAUGGCUGUGGAGUGAAAAUUGCGGCCGCAGCAGCAAAAUAAUCAUGCUUGGUGUAGUGAAUCCAAAAGGCCCCGCCCGCAUCUAGUGAUGACGUAACAUCUGACGUCACACGCUGUAGCGUGAGUCAGGCUGAAAAAGGCAGAGAACUUCAUGUUGCUCCAAGCGAAAUUGUGCAAAAACGGUAGGAUAUAGCAAAAAGGAGUGAAUACAACAUUUGUAGCAGACGAGUUGCUGAACAUUUUAAAGCAAAAAUGAGGUCUGUAGGUGAAAGUAUGCAGAAGUUAUAAGGGUGAGAAGGUGUUAUAGCUGUAUCUCCAUUCAUUUGUAAUGGAACAAAUUUUGCAGAAAAAGUGAAAUAUUGCAAAAAGUAUAAAUGGUAGAAAGGUGAAAAGUAAUAGCCGUAAUGUCCUGAAGGAGUGCAUUAGUAUAAAGUUUGAAUGGUGAAAAUAGCACAAAGUGGUGAGGAGUUGAAAAGGGCCAAAAAAGGUACGGAAGAAUAAUAAUAAUAAUAAUAAUAAUAAAGAAAUAGUAGAAUAACAAUAAGUGGAAAUGCUGUGUCAGCAUUUCCACUUAACUAGAAAAAUUGCAUUUCCUUGCAGAAAAUGCGUGGAAAUGCUGAGUGCUGAAAGCUGAAAAAGCAAUGCUAAACUGCUAAUAAAACAUGGAGAAAGGUAUAAAUGUUAAAGCUGUUGAAGGGGUGAAAAAGAAAUAUAAGUUGGAUAACUGUUUAAUUGGUUGAAGGACAAAUAGUAUGACUAUGCUCUAUAAAUGGAAAUUUUAUUCAUGCUGAAAGAGGCUAGAAAAAUGUCUAAAAUUGCACAAAGUUUGAAUGAAGAAGGAAACUGCCUUAAAAGGCAGGAAGGUGAGAAGUGGCAUAAGUUUAAGUUGUAGUACUAGAAGUAGUAUAAGAGGUCAAGUCGUGAUACUAGUAGUUAUGUCAGCAGUAGAAGUAGUUUGAGAAUAAAAGAAGUAUAAGUCACAGUAGUAGAGAAAGUAGAAAUAGGAGCAAUAGCAGUUGAAGUAGAGGGGAAAGUACUAGUUUAAUUGACAUUAGCAGUAGUUGUCGUACUUGAGGUAGGAUUUUUUUUGAAGGAUGGAGUAAUGCAUAAAUAUUAAAACUAAUUUAAACAUGGAAAAUUUAAAUAAUUAAAUUUCACAAGUAUCAGAAAGUUUUUAAGUAUUAGAAAGGUUUGAAUCAGUUUGAAUGAGUUUAAAUUAGUUUGAAAAAUUAAAUGAUAAAUCAUCACUGAGUGACUUUAAAAUGUGAAAAAUUUAAAUGAAAAUAAAUCCUAAAUACACCCCAUAAUGUCCUCAAUGAGCUUAAAUUUUAAAGCCCUGAAUGGUUUCUGUAGGUCAAAGGUCAUGUGAGGAGAUAGGGGCUGAAGUUUUUUCAAGCGCUCCAGGAAAGGGUUUUAAAUGUCAUCCCCAGUGUUAUGUGUACUGAGCCUGGCUUCAUGUGUCUCAUAUGGCCAUUAGAAGCAGCUUUUCAGUCAGCUGUGUGUCUCCAGGUGCACAAAUUGGUUGCCAUGGGGACCUUGGAUGCAUAACUAUAGCAGGAGAAAGAAGGCUUGAAGCUAAGGAAACAGGACUCCAAGUAGGCCCUGAUGCUCAUCCUCUGUAUAAAUUCAUGAUAAGGAGCUUGUGAGAACACAAGACUCUGCUGAACACAUUAAUACAAUUUAUUAUCACAAUCCUCAAAACACCCCAUAAUAUCUUCAAUGAGCUGAAUUUUUGAAGCCCAGAAUGGUUUCUGUAGCUCAAAGUUUGUGGGUGGAGAUAGGUGGUGAAGCAGACACAUAUUAACUGUGUAUACAAGCAGCUGAACUGCAAGGUAGACCUGACAGCAAAAAGUACAAGAAUCUGUGUGUGUGUGUGUGUGUGUGUGUGUGUGUGUGUGUGUGUGUGUGUGUGUGUGUGUGUCUCGUUAAUGAUUGCAUCCUAAACAGCUGUGAGAUCAAAGCAUUAACUAACCUAUUGUUUGAAUGGAGAAGCUGCCGAACUGCAGUGAAUUUAGGGUUCUGAACUUCUUCACAUAGCACGAUUUCCUUAAAUCCCAGAAUGAAAAUAAGAACAUCGUACGAAUCCUCCAUCCUUCAUGAACACAAUGAUAUGUUUUUCAUGUCUGUACUCCGAAAAAUGUGGCCACAACAGCGAGUCAAAAAAGUCUGAGCCUGAGUGACGAUAAGGAUUUUCUUGGAGAAAAAAUACAUUAGGGCCAAUGGGGAGAGAUUUGCGCCUAUUUGGACAGUUGGUCACCUGCUGGCCAAGGGGUAGGAUUUAAUGAUUUGAAACCUCUUUUGUGAGAAGCAGGACACAUAUACCUCCAUUUUGAUGUAUUUUUUAUGGCUGUGGAGUGAGAUUUUUGGGCGUGGGAGCGAUAUAUUCGAGCGAGGUUCUGUCGAUCAGAGACGAGGUCUGCACUCUAGCUUUUCAAAUCAUCACUCUAGCCUCUCCAAUACACCCCCAUUAUAAAGCCUGAAAUUUGCUGAAAACCACAAGUUGCAUAAAGCUAAAUUGUGGAAAAACUGUAAAAGAUAGCAAAAAAAGGUUAAUACAACAUCAAUAGUCGACAAGACAAUGAACAUUUUAAAGCAAAAAUUAGGUCUCUAGGUGAAAGUAUGCUGAAGUUAUAAGGCAUAGAAAGUGGACGAAUAACAGGAAGAAUUGGAACAUUUCCCCAUUCAUUUCUAUGGGAAAAAAAGUUUGGCACAAAAAGUGAAAAAUAAUAAAAAGUACAAAGGACAGAAAGGAAAAAAAUACAAGCACACAUGUCCUGAUGGAGUGGAAUAGUUUAAAGUUUGAACGGUUGAAAUCGGACAAAGUUUGAAGGAGGAGAAGCAGUCCAAAGAAACGUAUGGGGAGAGUGUUAAGUAUAAUACUAGAAAAAUUGCAUUUCCUUGCAGAAAAUGCGUGGAAAUGCUGAGUGCUGAAAGCUGAAAAAGCAAUGCAAAACUGCCAAUAAAAAAUGGAGGAAGGUAUAAACGGAAAAACUGUAGAAAAGGUGGAGUAGAAGAAGAAGAAAUUGUAUGAAUGGAAGAAUUGUAGUAUAGCUGGAGGUAAAUUAGUUGGAUUAAUGUACAAAUUGUCUGAUAGCCUAAGUGAAAAAUGUAUAUGAUUGAUGUGAAUAAACAGAACUGAUAUGGAUAAUUGAAUUUGAAAAACAAAUGCCUUUAAACAAUGUGUAACAAUGUUCCUAUUAAAUGUACAAAUAGUAAAACAGAUUUUUGCAGUCUGCAGCAUCCAACCAUAGUAACUUGAGAAUGCAGAACAGCACCAUCUAUUGCCCUGCUUCA